This is a non-coding RNA of Picea glauca (white spruce), 1291 nucleotides long. Lineage: Eukaryota; Viridiplantae; Streptophyta; Pinopsida; Pinales; Pinaceae. The record is from Rfam.
UACCUUGUUGAUCCUGCCAGUAUUCAUUUGCUUGUCUCAAAGAUUAAUCCAUGCAUGUCUAAGUAUGAACUAAUUCAGACUGUGAAACUGCGGAUGGCUCAUUAAAUCAGUUAUAGUUUCUUUGAUGGUACCCUACUAAUCGAAUAACCGUAGUAAUUCUAGAGCUAAUACGUGCUCCAAGUCCUAACUCUUUGGAAGGGAUGCAUUUAUUAGAUAAAAGGCCUACGCGGGCUUGCCCGCUUCUCCGGUGAAUCAUGAUAACUCGACGGAUCGCACAACCCUUGUGCUGGCGAUGAUUCAUUCAAAUUUCUGCCCUAUCAACUUUCGAUGGUAGGAUAGAGGCCUACCAUGGUGGUGACGGGUGACGGAGAAUUAGGGUUCAAUUUCGGAGAGGGAGCCUGAGAAACAGCUACCACAUCCAAGGAAGGCAACAGGUGCGCAAAUUACCCAAUCCUGGCAUGGGGAGGUAGUGACAAUAAAUAACAAUACUGGGCUCAUCGAGUCUGGUAAUUGGAAUGAGUACAAUCUAAAUCCUUUAACGAGGAUCCAUUGGAGGGAAAGUCUGGUGCCAGAAGCCAUGGUAAUUCCAGCUCCAAUAGCGUAUAUUUAAGUUGUUGUAGUUAAAAAGCUCGUAGUUGGAUCUUGGGUCAUAAAGGUCAGUCUGCCUACUCGGUGUGCACCUUCCCUUCCGUCCCUUUUGCUGGCGGCGUGCUCUUGGCCUUAAUUGGCUGGGUCACGGUUCCGGCGUUGCUAAUUUUAAAAAAUUAGAUUGCUCAAAGCAAGCUUAUGCUCUGAAUACAUUAGCAUGGAAUAACGCGAUAGGAGUCUGGUCCUAUUGUGUUGGCCUUCUGGACCGAAGUAAUGAUUAAUAGGGACUGUCGGUGGCAUUCGUAUUUCAUUGUCAGAGGUGAAAUUCUUGGAUUUAUGAAAGAUGAAUCACUGCGAAAGCAUUUGCCAAGGAUGUUUUCAUUAAUCAAGAAUGAAAGUUGGGGGCUCGAAGACGAUCAGAUAUCGUCCUAGUCUCAACCAUAAAUGAUGCCAACCAGGGAUCGACGGAUGUUGCUCUAAGGACUCUGCCAGCACCUUCUGAGAAAUCAGAGUGUUUGGGUUUCGGGGGGAGUAUGGUCACAAGGCUGAAACUUAAAGGAAUUGAUGGAAGGGCACCACCAGGAGUGGAGCCCGUGGCUUAAUUUGACUCAACACGAGAAAACUUACCAGGUCUAGACAUAGUAAGGAUUGACAGAUUGAGAGCUCUUUCUUGAUUCUAUGGGUGGUGGUGCAUGGCCGUUCU